UAUAUAUAUGUAGUCAAUUGGAUUUGGUGGUUGCUUGGAUGAUUUCAUCAUCUAGUUCCUAAUUAUUUUUUCAGUGUGUAAUGGUCCUCUUGGAAACAAUUACUAUUCCUUUUGAGCAGUUCAAUUUAGCUGAUGCCAGGUGGUGUGGAAUCUCAAGUUUGACAAUUAGAAUAUUCUUAAGGAAACAAAACUUGAGAAACAAUCUGCUAAAACCUCCGUCAAAUUUGGUGCGGGAGAACCCAUAAAGACCCAAAUUGAGAAACAAAAUGAUAAAACAGUUAUGCCAUCAGAUGCUCGUGUUCGGCAUCUUAAAGAUCAGCUUAUCCAGGGAAGGGUGUACCUUUCCCUUACAGCUACAAGAAACAAUCCCCACUUUAUAAGGGAGCUUUGGCUACGGAUGAAGGAAGCUCAACGAUCACUUGGGGAAGCAAUCAAGGACUCUGAACUACCAAGGAAGUAAGUCUUCUCUCUUUAUAUUGUUGUUGCCAUUUGCUUGUAAAGUAGUCUAGCUUCGGGUCCACAAGAAGCAGACCUUGUUUCUAACGCACUUGACUGCAAAAACACUACCUAAAGGUCUUCACUGUCUUCCCUUGCGCCUUUCAACCGAGUACUUUAGUUUGAAUUCUUCAGAGCGGAACUUUCACAAUCAAGAGAAACUAGAAGACCCUAGGUUGUACCACUAUGCACUAUU
Camellia sinensis is the source of this 691-nucleotide non-coding RNA. NCBI's taxonomy places the organism in Eukaryota, Viridiplantae, Streptophyta, Magnoliopsida, Ericales, Theaceae. The record is from RefSeq and is a predicted model, not a curated record.